UACGGAGGGUGCGAGCGUUGUCCGGAAUCACUGGGCGUAAAGGGCGCGUAGGCGGCCUGAUAAGUCGGGGGUGAAAUCCUGCGGCUUAACCGCAGGGCUGCCUUCUAAACUGUCGGGCUAGAGCACGGUAGAGGCAGAUGGAAUUCCCGGUGUAGCGGUGGAAUGCGUAGAGAUCCGGAGGAACACCGAAGGCGAAGGCAGUGUCCUGGGGAGUACCUGACGCUCAGGUGCGAAAGCCAGGGGAGCGAACGGG
RNAcentral lists this ribosomal RNA (253 nucleotides) under uncultured bacterium. Its description in RNAcentral is "partial 16S ribosomal RNA". It matches the Rfam family "Bacterial small subunit ribosomal RNA", at positions 524 to 776 of the family's 1533-position model. The record is from RNAcentral.